This 2754-nucleotide long non-coding RNA is filed under the name Homo sapiens (human). Its description in RNAcentral is "non-protein coding MIR124-2HG:23". Lineage: Eukaryota; Metazoa; Chordata; Mammalia; Primates; Hominidae. The record is from RNAcentral.
AGCCUCUUCUUUCCUCUGCGAACGCGCUGAGCAGCGAUUGAAAACGUUUUGGUCCUCUGCAGGUUUGAACAGGGCUAGCAGGUCUCUCUCCGGAUUUCUAGGGCUAUGGGUAUAUGUAAUUCUUUCUCUCAUCGAUCGUUUCGAUUCUCUUGCCGGUCUUGCAGUUUGCAGGGUCCUAAACGAAGAGGGGUGGAGAUUCGAGAGUGCGGGUCUGGCGUGUGGUCCAAGGGAGGGGGUGAGGCUGGGAAAGGGGGUGCAGAAUGCGGGAACGGCUGGGACUGCACAGAAGGACCAUCUGCGGACUCGUUUUCACUGCUCCAGCUCCCGAAAUCGUUUCUCUGGACGCGGCAGUAUCCGCAGCGCAUGCACCCUCCUCUGGACUUCCGCAGCCCAGACCUGCGCUUACAGUCAUCGCGCCACCCCCUCCCCCCGGGCUGCGGGCCCCGCGCUCCGUGGGCUCAGGGUCCCCUCCGCGUCCCCCUGAAGCCUGGGGACGGAGGUCGCGACCGGCCGACUGGGGUCCUGUCCUCUUGUCACCUUGUAUCCCUCGCAUGCUCCCUCCCGCCUCGUGUCCCUCUCCCCACCCUCCCCCUCCUCUCUCCCGCCUCCCUAACACUGCGCUUUGAUUCUGUUUUUCAGGGGCGCAUUCUGGGGUCUCUGCGCAAGACCAGCUCUCAGCUCUCUCUCCUUUCCUCGGACUCUGGAGCGGGAGCGGGCCUUUCCCUCGGGUCGACCACGCCGUAGGGGACGCCGUGAAAAGAGCCGUCGCGCCCGCUGCCUCCUGCCCGCUGCGCAGAGGGCUCCGCCCGUAGAGGUCAACUUCCCUCACCCUUUUCUCUCUCCUGCUUGCCCUCCCUCCGCCCGGCCCAGGCGCUUCCAGCCCCAGACUGUGGCCACUGGCUGAGGAGUGCGAGUCGGCUGCGCUGCCCUGAGCCUAAUCCCUCUUCCGGGCCCAGACCCGAGGUCCGCGCUCCUGGGCAGUGGGGAAGCUUUAGUGAGCAGGCUUUUCUCUCCGCAGCAAACUUGUAGCCAGACCAGAUGGGCCGCCCAGCUCUCUCGGGACUAGGCAGUAUUCAUCCAAUUGCGCUGAUCUCCUGCAUCCACAUCUUGCGUAAUCCACAAAGCAGCUAUGGUCCAGGGCUGCAAAAUCGUCCUGCCUGAUUCCUUUAGAAUUCAUACUACCUCAGAGGAGCAAACCUAAUCCCCUCAGCCUAAUCCUACCUGUUUAGGAUCAUCUAAACUUGUCCUUCAGAAAGCUUGAUCAGUUUAAAAUUGCUUUCUAAAUAGAAAUGAAAUACGUGAUAUGAGAGAGGUUAAAAUACUGCUUAAAAAGGGAAACACUCAAUUUAGUAAUUCGGUUGCCUAGAUGAAAUCGAGUGGCUAUUGAUCCGUGAUGUUUCUAGAUUUUUAAGACUAUGUACUUCCUAUUUCUUUGGAAAAUAAUCAUCCAGUUUGAUGCCCAUUACAAAUUUUCCUGCUAUGAAAGAAAUUCUAUGCGCGGCAGUUUUGCAAUAAAACAACCCGGGCUUCGCAAUGGGAGAACUUCGGUGCGGCGUGCCGUGAGAGUCCUUUGACAAUCUCAGCUUUCAUCUAGGUCUGAAAUUAAAGCUUCUCGGAAUAAUUUAGGAACAGCUUGACCCGUUGAGAUACUCAAGGACAACCCUCCAGGGAAAUAGUAUGUUUCCUUCCUGGGAACAAGAUGCUAGCGCGGUGCACCGGGAGGUAUCUGGUGUCAACAAUGCCAGAGCGCCCUCUGCUGCCUCAAAGAGGCAGGACACCAGUUACAAAAGCCAGAUGGCACAGUGGCAAUAAGCGGAGGAAACAUUAAGCUCUUAGAAACGUUUAAUCUGUGAAAUUUAAAAGCUCUCAUCAUAUUCUACUUUUGAAAGGGCCACCUGAUUUUGAUUUUGAGCACUCCUUGGAUGUUAUCUUCUAUUCUGGAGGAUAAUGAAAAGUCCGUGUUUUGAAGUUUUCAGAUUAUUUCUGUAGUUAUAUUUCUCCACUCUUUCUCGAAUUUUAUAUGGAAAUACGAAAUUGCAAAUCUAAGUGAAAAACCUUUGUGUAAAACAGGUGAGUGGAGAAGACGUCCUGGUUUCUCCAAAUAACUAAGAUCUAAUAAAGAAACAAAUCUUAAUUAAAAUAAAGAUACCGAGCACAUGUUGUUGUGUUAGUUUAAAACGAUAAUAAAAAGAAAGAAAUUAAGUCUCGAUGUAAAUCAUUGUUUUGUUGUUUUGUUUCAGUGAUUAACCCAAAUUUUGACCAGACUUGAAGUUUUGAAAUAAGAAAGUGAAUUAUUUUAAAGAAGAAGAAAAAUUUGCUUCUUAUUAAUAUGUACAAUAUUUUUGCCCUUAAAACCUUUGCAAUACAUUUAUACACACACACUCAGCUUGCAAAGCCUUCUUUAGAAAAUAACCCACUCUGAGUAGAAGUAAUGAGAUAUGGUAGCAGCAUGGGCAAAGCCAUAAGAAACGUUAUUUGCAUUAAAAAUGAGUUUUUCAGUAUGGAAAAUCAAUUACCAAAUGAAAUAGAGAUUUUUUUUAAAGGUUCAAACCUUUUCAAAUUUUUAUGUUAUAGGGUUUAUAUUGAUUAAAAUAAAUGUACGUUUGUAGUUAUUCAACAUUAUGAAUUUCAAGAUGGCCACCUAUUUUGAAACGCACACCUUUGCCAUGAAGUCUGUUGUUGCAUAUAUUAGUGCUGAUGUAAUAAAAUGCUUCUAUUAACUAUGUGGUUGUUAAUAAAUCUUGUAAAAAUAAA